UCAAUCCUCUCUCUUUCAAUGUCAGUUUUCUCCGUAAAUACAAACUCAUGGAUUCUCUCUCAUCAGUUUCUCCGUUGAUCGUUCUUCUGAGUGAUCAAUAGGAAUUUUUUUGCAUCUAUUUUCUUCAAAGAUUUUGGAGAAUCAAUGAUAAAGAUGGGCAAAAUUGAAGUCCUUACUGUAAAAGUCAAGGAAAGAAUCUUUGAGGAGCACAUAUUCUAUCACCAUUUGUAUCACUCAAGCAGAAAGCUUUUCUUGGGGAAAUAUGGAUUGAAGUCUGCCUGAUUUACGCCACUCUACCACCUUUCUUUGCCUCCCACGAACAACCCGAUUCGUGCCUUCAAGGAACAUAAACGUGAGGUACGAUAUUAGGGUUGUUCUUGAACAAGGCGACAGAGUUUGGGGCUGAGUAACUUAAAGAUACUGUUACCUUUUUUAAUGUAUUUUCAAUGUAUUUUGCUAUAUUUUCAUGUAUUUCAUUAUAUUCAUUGUCUUUUUUUUUCAUUGUAUUUCAGUGUAUCUCGCUAUAUUCCAUGUAUUUCAUUGUAUUCAAUAUCCC
This 556-nucleotide long non-coding RNA is filed under the name Nicotiana benthamiana. RNAcentral's name for it is "long non-coding RNA (NBEN_LNC022289)". Lineage: Eukaryota; Viridiplantae; Streptophyta; Magnoliopsida; Solanales; Solanaceae. The record is from RNAcentral.